ACCUACUGUUUAAUUUUGAGGGUUCGUUUUUACGAAUACUCAAAAUUAGCACUUUUAGCAACAGAAUAAACUGAACGCAUGUGAAGUUUGUUUGUUGGCGCUGUGCGUUAGCACUUUAAGCAACGGGAUUUAUCCGUUGGCGCCGUGCUUUAGCACUUUGAAAACUGCAUAUAUAUUUAGUGAUAUGACAUCUAAUUUGUAAUAUAUAAAGCUGAUAACUUUUUAAAAUUAUCAAGUUGAUAGACUUUAAUCUAUCAAACCUUUUUAACUGGUCAA
This 276-nucleotide unclassified non-coding RNA is filed under the name Clostridioides difficile. RNAcentral describes it as "16S-23S ribosomal RNA intergenic spacer". Lineage: Bacteria; Bacillati; Bacillota; Clostridia; Peptostreptococcales; Peptostreptococcaceae. The record is from RNAcentral.